This 514-nucleotide ribosomal RNA is filed under the name uncultured bacterium. RNAcentral's name for it is "partial 16S ribosomal RNA". The record is from RNAcentral.
GGAGUUAGCCGGUGCUUCUUCUGCGAGUAACGUCACAGAUGUAAGGUAUUAACUUACACCCUUUCCUCCUCGCUGAAAGUGCUUUACAACCCGAAGGCCUUCUUCACACACGCGGCAUGGCUGCAUCACGGGUUUCCCCCAUUGUGCAAUACUUCCCCACUGCUGCCUCCCGUAGGAGUCUGGGCCGUGUCUCAGUCCCAGUGUGGCUGAUCAUCCUCUCAGACCAGCUAGGGAUCGUCGCCUAGGUGAGCCUUUACCUCACCUACUAGCUAAUCCCACCUGGGCUUAUCCAUCAGCGCAAGGCCCGAAGGUCCCCUGCCUUUCCCCCGUAGGGCGUAUGCGGUAUUAGCAGUCGUUUCCAACUGUUAUCCCCCACAAAUGGGCAAAUUCCCAGGCAUUACUCACCCGUCCGCCGCUCGUCAUCUUCAAAAGCAAGCUUUUGAAAUGUUACCGCUCGACUUGCAUGUGUUAGGCCUGCCGCCAGCGUUCAAUCUGAGCCAUGAUCAAACUCUGA